This is a long non-coding RNA of Dromaius novaehollandiae (emu), 602 nucleotides long. RefSeq lists it as uncharacterized. The transcript has 2 exons. The record is from RefSeq and is a predicted model, not a curated record. Lineage: Eukaryota; Metazoa; Chordata; Aves; Casuariiformes; Dromaiidae.
AUAAACCACUUGCAAGAAGCAGAACCACAGUAGUCACUCUCUCUGAUUUUCCCUUCUUUCUUUUUUCACAGCCUGCACCCUAAUUAGUUAAGAAAUAUCUUAAGAACCCUUACCCUUGAGAUGGCUUGAGUUACAGUACAAGUAUCUCAUAGUCUCUCAUAGUUACCAACCUUCAUGUUGGUAAGUGAUUCACUUCUGCUUUAUCUCCUUUCCCAGCUAUUCUCAAGAUACUCACCCCAAGUUCAGCCAAGGACUCAGGAAUGGAACAAACAUGAUCACACCAAAGAUGCUGAAGCUUACAACAGCAGCAAUUUGUAACACGACUUAAGAGCCCUGUAAAGAUAACAGGAUGAGAUGCACAACAAAGCACUGGAAAUUCACUAAUACAGGGAACCAUCUGUAACAACAGCUGGACAGAACCCAACUAUGAGAAAUUGGAGCUGGAGACUUAAUACUAAACACCAGCAAGUUAAGGAGGACCAGUUAGUACACUCUGCCUUACUUGCGCAAGCUAAGUAAUAGAACAUUUGUAGUCCCUUGUUUUUUUUGGCUCAUUGACCUCUAAAUUCAAAAGAGAUUAAAAAGAUUUCAUAAUUUUGUAA